Ochotona princeps (American pika) is the source of this 105-nucleotide small nucleolar RNA. NCBI's taxonomy places the organism in Eukaryota, Metazoa, Chordata, Mammalia, Lagomorpha, Ochotonidae. The record is from Ensembl.
AUCUUUUUGUGGUUCGUAAGUGUAAAGAUUGAGUUGAUACAUGGCUGUGUGACAUGUGCCUUCCUCCAAAACUUGUUAUGACAUCAGCACAUUGCCCAUCUGACG